CCUCCUUUUUUCCGCCGUGCGGCCUCUUGGUCCCUGGGCGGCCGCCUGCCCCAGCCAAGUAGCGUGCAGGAUGACGGCCCUACGGGUUGUAAACUGCUUUUAUACGGGAAUAACGCGCCUUACGUGUAGGGCUUUGCAUGUACCGUAUGAAUAAGGACCGGCUAAUUCCGUGCCAGCAGCCGCGGUAAUACGGAAGGUCCGGGCGUUAUCCGGAUUUAUUGGGUUUAAAGGGAGCGUAGGCCGCAUGUCAAGCGUGCUGUGAAAUGUCCGGGCUCAACCCGGGCCUUGCAGCGCGAACUGGCGUGCUUGAGUCCGCGGAAAGCAGGCGGAAUUCGUCGUGUAGCGGUGAAAUGCUUAGAUAUGACGAAGAACCCCGAUUGCGAAGGCAGCUUGCUGCAGCGGAACUGACGCUGAUGCUCGAAAGCGCGGGUAUCGAACAGGAUUAGAUACCCUUGUAGUC
This 460-nucleotide ribosomal RNA is filed under the name uncultured bacterium. Its description in RNAcentral is "partial 16S ribosomal RNA". It matches the Rfam family "Bacterial small subunit ribosomal RNA", at positions 338 to 795 of the family's 1533-position model. The record is from RNAcentral.